CAGGCCAACCCUGUGGCGAGUCCGAGUAGCGUCGGACCGUCGCAACGCGCGGAAAGGAGUGGGCUGCAUUAUUGCGGCUUAAGGUACGUGCUAAACCCUUGGGAAACCAAGCUCGCAGGAUUAGACCCGAUAUGUCGAAGUCUGCGAGGGCCGAGAGGCUGGAUCCGGAGCCCGAUGGGUGUCCCGGAAGUGCUGUGAUGCCCUUAGAUGUUCUGGGCUGCACG
Molecule: ribosomal RNA, 224 nt
Filed under: Eurotiomycetes sp.
Lineage: Eukaryota; Fungi; Ascomycota; Eurotiomycetes
Description: partial small subunit ribosomal RNA
Source: RNAcentral